CAAAAAGGGGAAAAGAGAUUACAGACACAGAAAAUGUCAGACAACAAAGAAAGGAAGAGUCAAGGAUUUCCUAAAGAAGAAUGAACUUCAUGAGCUUGAAAAAGAAAUAGCAGCUAUCUCUGCAGAAACUAAAGAAACAGAAAGACAAAUUUAUCAACAAGAUUCUGCCAUAGAGAAUACCAAACUUCAUUGUGAUAGCCUGGAAACUCAAAUCAAAUCCUUACAUUCAGAAAAUGUAAAGCUUAAAUUUGACAUAGAAACAGCCCAAGAAGAUUUUGAGGAACACAUGAUAAAAUAUAAUGCAUAUUAUGCAAAAAUAAAAGCACAUAAAAAUAGUUUGGGGGAAGUAGAGAGCAAAUGGUCAUUUAUGACUGAACUCCAUGAAAAGCGAGAUUUUGUUAAAAAAUUAAAGACAAUGAAAGAAGAACUUAUGCAAGAUCUUCAAAAUCCAGGAGGGAACCGAAUAACACAAGUACAGGAAGACAUUACAAACUUAAAGGAUAAAAUUAUAACUGUAAAAGAAUCUAUCAUUGAAAAAACUUGUUUUCUUGAGGAAGAAAAAAAGACACAUGAAAAAUUAAGAAAAGAAAUAGAGACCUUGCACCACCCAUCCACUGGAGUCAUCCUUGCUGACCACAAGAUAUCUCUUGAAACGGAGAUAAGCA
Molecule: long non-coding RNA, 665 nt
Filed under: Homo sapiens (human)
Lineage: Eukaryota; Metazoa; Chordata; Mammalia; Primates; Hominidae
Description: HSALNT0200756
Source: RNAcentral